GAUGAACGCUGGCGGCGUGCCUAUACAUGCAAGUCGAGCGAACAGAUGAGGAGCUUGCUCCUCUGACGUUAGCGGCGGACGGGUGAGUAACACGUGGAUAACCUACCUAUAAGACUGGGAUAACUUCGGGAAACCGGAGCUAAUACCGGAUAAUAUAUUUAACCGCAUGGUUCAAUAGUGAAAGACGGUUUUGCUGUCACUUAUAGAUGGAUCCGCGCCGCAUUAGCUAGUUGGUAAGGUAACGGCUUACCAAGGCAACGAUGCGUAGCCGACCUGAGAGGGUGAUCGGCCACACUGGAACUGAGACACGGUCCAGACUCCUACGGGAGGCAGCAGUAGGGAAUCUUCCGCAAAGGGCGAAAGCCUGACGGAGCAACGCCGCGUGAGUGAUGAAGGUCUUCGGAUCGUAAAACUCUGUUAUUAGGGAAGAACAAAUGUGUAAGUAACUAUGCACGUCUUGACGGUACCUAAUCAGAAAGCCACGGCUAACUACGUG
RNAcentral lists this ribosomal RNA (496 nucleotides) under uncultured bacterium. RNAcentral's name for it is "partial 16S ribosomal RNA". It matches the Rfam family "Bacterial small subunit ribosomal RNA", at positions 28 to 507 of the family's 1533-position model. The record is from RNAcentral.